AUUGAACGCUGGCGGAAUGCUUUACACAUGCCAGUCGAACGGCAGCACGGGGGCAGCCCUGGUGGCGAGUGGCGAACGGGUGAGUAAUCCAUGGGAAGGGGCCGGGCCGUGGGGGAAAACGUGCGGAAGGUAAGGCUAAUACGCCAAAGGACCUGAGGAUGAAGGGGGGGAACUUUCGGGCUCCGGGCGUCGGGACCGCCGAUGGCAGAUUAGGUAGUUGGUGGGGUAAAGGCCUACCAAGCCGACGAUCUGUAGCUGGUCUGAGAGGACGACCAGCCACACUGGGACUGAGACACGGCCCAGACUCCUACGGGAGGCAGCAGUGGGGAAUUUUGGACAAUGGGCGCAAGCCUGAUCCAGCCAUUCCGCGUGCAGGACGAAGGCCUUCGGGUUGUAAACUGCUUUUGUACGGAACGAAAAGGCUCUGGCUAAUACCUGGGGCUCAUGACGGUACCGUAAGAAUAAGCACCGGCUAACUACGUG
Molecule: ribosomal RNA, 483 nt
Filed under: uncultured bacterium
Lineage: Bacteria
Description: partial 16S ribosomal RNA
Rfam family: Bacterial small subunit ribosomal RNA
Source: RNAcentral